CAGCCUCAGGAGCAGCGAAUUAAACCUCCACAAUCAACUUGAUGUACCCUGCAUCUGUGGAAUACCUGAAUAGACAACAAAUCAUCCCAAAAUUGAGUAUGCGGGCCUCUCACUGUUGUGGCCUCUCCUGUUGCAGACCACAGGCUCCGGACACGCAGGCUCAGCGGCCAUGGCUCACGGGCCCAGCCGCUCCGCGGCAUGUGGAAUAUUCCCGGACUGGGGCACAAACCCGCCUCCCCUGCAUCGGCAGGUGGACUCUCAACAACUGCGCCACCAGGGAAGCCCUAAUUUUUAUCCUUUUUCUCUUUUUGUGAGUGUGUAUGUGUAUGCUUCUUUUUGUGAUUUGUCUGUAUAGCUUUGCUUUUGCCAUUUGUCCUAGGGUUCUGACUGUCCAUUUUGUUUGUUUGUAACUAUAGUUUUUAGCACUAUAACCAACUUUUUUGGUUUGGUUACUAUCUCCUUUCUUUCUCUCUUUUUUUAAUUUUUUAUUUUUAAUAACAUAUUUUAUUCCUUUUUUCUCUCUUCCUCCUUCCCUCAUUCCAUCUCUUCCUUCCUUCCUUCCUUUCUUUCUCCCUUUUCUUCUGAGCCGUGUGGCUGACAGGGUCUUGGUGCUCUGGCCGGGUGUCAGACCUGAGCCUCUGAGGCGGGAGAGCCGAGUUCAGGACAUUGGUCCACCAGACACCUCCAAGCCCCACAUAAUAUCAAAUGACAAAAACUCUCCCAGAGAUCUCCACCUCAAAGCUAAGACCCAGCUCCACUCAACGAUCAGCAGGCUACAGUGGUGGACACCCUAUGCUAAACAACUAGAAAGACAGGAACACAGACGCACCCAUUAACAGAGAGGCUGCCUAAAAUCAUAAUAAGUUCACAGACACCCCAAAACACACCACCAGACGUGGUCCUGCCCACCAGAAAGACAAGAUCCAGCGUCAUCCACCAGAAGGCAGGCACCAGUCCCCUCUACCAGGAAGCCUACACAACCCACUGAACCAUGCUUACCCACUAGGAGCAGACACCAAAAACAAUGGGAACUAUGAACCUGCAGCCUGUGAAACGGAGACCCCAAACACAGUAAGUUAAGCAAAAUGAGAAGACAGAGAAAUACACAGCAGAUGAAGCAGCAAGGUAAAAACCUACCAGACCAAACAAAUGGAGAGGAAAUAGGCAGUCUACCUGAAAAAGAAUUCAGAAUAAUGAUAGUAAAGAUGAUCCAAAAUCUUGGAAAUAAGAAUGGAGAAUAUACAAGAAACAUUUAACAAGGAUCUAGAAGAACUAAAGAGCAAACAAUGAUGAACAGCACAAUAAAUGAAAUUAAAAAUUCUCUAGAAGGGCUUCCCUGGUGGUGCAGUGGUUGAGAGUCCGCCUGCCGAUGCAGGGGACAUGGGUUCGUGCCCUGGUCCGGGAGGAUCCCACAUGCCGCGGAGCGGCUGGGCCCAUGAGCCAUGGCUGCUGAGCCUGUGCAUCCGGAGCCUGUGCUCCACAACGGGAGAGGCCACAACAGUGAGAGGCCCACAUACCAUUAAAAAAAAAAAAAUUCUCUAGAAGGAAUCAAUAGCAGAAUAACAGACAGAAGAAUGGAUAAGUGACCUAGAAGAUAAAAUAGUGGAAAUUACUACAGAGCAGAAUAAAGCAAAAAAAAAAAAAAAAAAGAGAAUUGAGGACAAUCUCAGAGACCUCUGGGACAACAAUAAACACACCAACAUUUGAAUGAUAGGGUUCUCAGAAGAAGAAGAAUAAAGCAAAAAAAAAAAAAGAGAAUUGAGGACAAUCUCAGAGACCUCUGGGACAACAAUAAACACACCAACAUUUGAAUGAUAGGGUUCUCAGAAGAGGGGAAAAAAAGGGACUGAGAAAAUAUUUGAAGAAAUUAUAGUUGAAAAUUUCCCUACUAUGGGUAAGGAAAUAAUCAAUCAUGUCCAGGAAAUGCAGAGAGUCCCAUACAGGAUAAAUCCAAGGAGAAACAUACCAAGACACAUAUUAAUCAAACUAUCAAAAAUUAAAUACAAAGAAAAAAUAUUAAAAGCAGCAAGGGAAAAGCAACAAUUAACAUACAAGGGAAUCCCCAUAAGGUUAACAACUGAUUUUUCAGCAGAAACGGCAAGCCAGAAGGGAGUGGCAGGAUGUAUUUAAAGUGAUGAAAGGGAAAAACCUGCAACUGAGAUUACUCUACCCAGCAAGGAUCUCAUUCAGAUUCAACAGAGAAAUUAAAACCUUUACAGACAAGCAAAAGCUAAGAGAAUACAGCACCACCAAACCAGCUCUACAAAAAAUGCUAAAGGAACUUCUCUAGGCAGGAAACACAAGAGAAAGAAAAGACUUACGAUAACAAACCCAAAACAAUUAAGAAAAUGGUAAUAGGAACAUACGUAUCAAUAAUUACCUCAAAUGUAAAUGGAUUAAAUGCUCCAACCAAAAGACAUAGACUGGCUGAAUGGAUACAAAAACAAGACCUGAAAGAACAAGAAAUGUCUAUUUAGGUCUUCUGCCCAUUCUUGGAUUGGGUUGUUUUUUUUGAUAUUGAGCUGCUUGUAUAUUUUGGAGAUUAAUCCUUUCUCAGUUCCUUCAUUUGCAAAUAUUUUCUCCCAUUCUGCGGGUUGUCUUUUCAUCUUGUUUAUGGUUUCCUUUGCUGUGCAAAAGCUUUUAAGUUUCAUUAGGUCCCAUUUGUUUAUUGUUUUUAUUUCCAUUUCUCUAGGAGGUGGGUCAAAAAGGAUCUUGCUGUGAUUUAUGUCAUGUAGUAUUCUGCCUAUGUUUUCCUCUAAGAAUUUUAUAGUGUCUGGUCUUACAUACAGGUCUCUAAUCCAUUCUGAGUUUAUUUUUGUGUAUGGUGUUAGAAAGUGUUCUAAUUUCAUUCUUUUACAUGUAGCUGUCCAGUUCUCCCACCACCACUUAUUGAAGAGGCUGUCUUCUCCAUUGUAUAUUCUUGCCUCCUUUAUCAAAGAUAAGGUGACCAUAUGUGCAUGGGUUUAUCUCUGGGCUUUUUAUCCUGUUCCAUUGAUCUAUAUUUCUGUUUUUGUGCCAGUACCAUACUGUCUUGAUUACUGUAGCUUUGUAGUAUACAAUGGAGUCAGGGAGCCUGAUUCCUCCAGCUCCAUUUUUUUUUCUCAAGAUUGCUUUGGCUAUUUGGGGUCUUCUGUGUUUCCAUACAAAUUGUGAAAUUUUUUGUUCUAGUUCUGUGAAAAAUACCAGUGGUAGUUUGAUAGGGAUUGCAUUGAAUAUGUAGAUUGCUUUGGGUAGUAGAUUCAUUUUCACAAUGUUGAUUCUUCCAAUCCAAGAACAUGGUAUAUCUCUCCAUCUGUUUGUAUCACCUUUAAUUUCUUUCAUCAGUGUCUUAUAGUUUUCUGAAUACAGAUCUUUUGUCUCCCUAGGUAGGUUUAUUCCUAGGUAUUUUAUUCUUUUUGUUGCAAUGGUAAAUGGGAGUGUUUCCUUAAUUUCUCUUUCAGAUUUUUCAUCAUUAGUGUAUAGCAAUGCAAGAGAUUUCUGUGCAUUGAUUUUGUAUCCUGCUACUAUACUAAAUUCAUUGAUUAGCUCUAGUAGUUUUCUGGUAGCAUCUUUAGGAUUCUCUAUGUAUAGUAUCAUGUCAUCUGCAAACAGUGACAGUUUUACUUCUUUUCCAAUUUGUAUUCCUUUUAUUUCUUUUUCUUCUCUGAUUGCUGUGGCUAAAACUUCCAAAACUAUGUUGAAUAAUAGUGGUGAGAGUGGGCAACCUUGCCUUCUUCAUGAUCUUAGUGGAAAUGGUUUCAAUUUUUCACCAUUGACAAUGAUGUUGGCUGUGGGUUUGUCAUAUAUGGCCUUUAUUAUGUUGAAGUAAGUUCCCUCUAUGUAUACUUUCUCGAGGGUUUUUGUCAUAAAUCGGUGUUGAAUGUUGUUGAAAGCUUUUUCUGCAUCUAUUUAGAUGAUCAUAUGGUUUUUAUCUUUCAAUUUGUUAAUAUGGUUUAUCACAUUGAUUGAUUUGCAUAUAUUGAAGAAUCCUUGCAUUCCUGGGAUACACCCCACUUGAUCAUGGUGUGUGAUCCUUUAAAUGUGAUGUUGGAUUCUGUUUGCUAGUAUUUUGUUGAGGAUUUUUGCAUCUAUGUUCAUUAGUGACAUUGGCCUGUAGUUUUCUUUCUUUGUGACAUCUUUGUCUGAUUUUGGUAUCAGGGUGAUGGUGGCCUCGUAGAAUGAAUUUGGGAGUGUUCCUCCCUUUGCUAUAUUUUGGAAGAGUUUGGGAAGGAUAGGUAUUAGCUCUUCUCUAAAUGUUUGACAGAAUUUACCUGUGAAGCCAUCUGGUCCUGGACUUUUGUUUGUUGGAAGAUUUUUAAUCACAGUCUUAAUUUCAGUGCUUGUGAUUGGCCUGUUUGUAUUUUCUAUUUCUUCCUGGUUCAGUCUCAGGAGGUUGUGCAUUUCUAAGAAUUUGCCCAUUUCUUCCAGGUUGUCCAUUUUAUUGGCAUAUAGUUGCUUGUAGUAAUCUCUCAUGAUCCUUUGUAUUUCUGCAGUGUCAGUUGUUACUUCUCCUUUUUCAUUUUUAUUCUACUGAUUUCAGUCUGCUCCCUUUUUUUCUUGAUGAGUUUGGCUAAUGGUUUAUCAAUUUUGUUUAUCUUCUCAAAGAAACCUCUUUUAGUUUUAUUGAUCUUUGCCUAUCAUUUCCUUCAUUUCUUUCUCAUUUAUUUCUGAUCUGAUCUUUAUGAUUUCUUUCCUUCUGCUAACUUUGGGUUUUUUUGUUCUUCUUUCUCUAAUUGCUUUAGGUGUAAAGUUAGGUUGUUUAUUUGAGAUGUUUCUUGUUUCUUGAGGUAGGAUUGUAUUGCUAUAAACUUCUCUCUUAGAACUGCUUUUGCUACAUCCCAUAGGUUUUGGGUUGUUGUGUUUUCAUUGUCAUUUGCUCCUAGGAAUUUUUUGAUUUCCUCUUUGAUUUCUUCAGUGAUCUCUUGCUUAUUUAGUAGCGUAUUGUUUAGCCUCCAUGUGUUUGUAUUUUUUACAGAUUUUUUUUCCUGUAAUUGAUAUCUAGUCUCAUAGCGUUGUGAUCAGAAAAGUUACUUGAUACAAUUUCAGUUUUCUUAAAUUUACCAAGGCUUGACUAGUGACCCAAGAUAUGGUCUAUCCUGGAGAAUGUUCCAAGAGCACUUGAGAAGAAAGUAUAAUCUGAUGUUUUUGGAUGGAAUGUCCUAUAAAUAUCAAUUAAGUCCAUCUUGUUUAAUGUAUCAUUUAAAGCUUGUGUUUCCUUAUUUAUUUUCAUUUUGGAUGAUCUGUCCAUUGGUGAAAGUGGGGUGUUAAAAUCCCUUACUAUUAUUGUGUUACUGUUGAUUUCCCCUUUUAUGGCUGUUAGCAUUUGCCUUAUGUAUUGAGGUGCUCCUUUUUUGGGUGCAUAAAUAUUUACAAUUGUUAUAUCUUCUUCUUGGAUUGAUCUCUUGAUCAUUAUGUAGUGUCCUUCUUUGUCUCUUGUAAUAGUCUUUAUUUUGAAGUCUAUUUUUUCUGAUAUGAGAAUUGCUACUCCAGCUUUCUUUUGAUUUCCAUUUGAGUAGAAUAUCUUUUUCCAUCCCCUCACUUUCAGUCUGUAUGUGUCCCUAGGUCUGAGGUGGGUCUCUUAUAGACAGCAUAUGCAGCUCAAUAUCAAAAAAACAACCCAAUCCAAGAAUGGGCAGAAGACCUAAAUAGACAUUUCUCCAAAGAAGAUAUACAGAUUGCCAACAAACACAUGAGAGGGUGCUCAGCAUCACUAAUCAUUAGAGAAAUGCAAAUCAAAACUAUAAUGAGUUAUCACCUCACACCUGUCAGAAUGGCCAUCAUCAAAAAAUCUACAAACAAUAAAUGCUGGAGAGGGUGUGGAGAAAAGGGAACCCUCUUGCACUGUUGGUAGGAAUGUAUAUUGAUACAGCUACGAUGGAGAACAGUAUGGAGGGUCCUUAAAAAACUAAAAAUAGAACAACCAUACGACCUACCAAUCCCACUACUGGGCAUAUACCCUGAGAAAACCAUAAUUCAAAAAGAGUCAUGUACCCCAAUGUUUAUUGCAGCUCUAUUUCCAAUAGCCAGGACAUGGAAGCAACCUAAGUGUCCACUGAAAGAUGAACAGAUAAAGAAGAUGUGGCACAUAUAUACAAUGGAAUAUUAGCCAUAAAAGGAAAUGAAAUUGAGUUAUUUGUAGUGAGGUGGAUGGACCUUAGAGACUGUCAUACAGAGUGAAGUACAUCAGAAAGAGAAAAACAAAUACUGUAUGCUAACACAUAUAUAUGGAAUCUAAAAAAAAAAUAUUGGGUCUGAAGAACCUAGGGGCAGGACAGGAAUAAAGGCGUGGACAUAGAGAAUGGACUUGAGCACCCGAGGAGGGGGUAGGGUAAGCUGGGACGCAGUGAGAGAGUGACAUCGACAUAUAUACACUACCAAAAGUAAAACAGAUAGCUAGUGGGAAGUAACCACAUAGCACAGGGAGAUCAGCUCAGUGCUUUGUGUCCACCUAGAGGGAUGGGAUAGGGAUGGUGGGAGGGAGAUGCAAGAGGGAGGACAUAUGGGGAUGUAUAUAUAUAUGUAUAGCUGAUUGACUUUGUUAUAAAGCAGAAACACACCAUAGUAAAGCAAUUAUACUCCAAUAAAGAUGUUAAAAAAUUUUUUUAAUAAAAAGGGAAAAUUUGGACACAUACACACACACACAGGGAGAACACCAUGUGCAGAUGAAGGCUGAGAUCAGGGUGAAGCAAACCACUGGCAAACCACCAGAGGUUAGGAGGGAGGAUGGGGGCAGAUUCUCUCCCAUAGGCCUUGGAAGGAACCAACCCUACUGACACCUUGAUUUAGGACUACUAGCCUCCAGAACAGUGAGACAAUAAAUUUCUGUUGUUUAAGGCACCUAAUCUGUGAAACUUUGUCAUAGAAUCCCUAAGAAACAAAUGUAAGUCCCUACAUGUCUUUUGUGCCCAGAGAUCAAAGGGACUGCUACUGAGCAAACUACAAGUUGCAACAUGGGAUCCAUGAACUCCUUUCCUGCUAUUUUAACCUGGAUAGAGACUUCAAAAUCUCCCAAGAAUUUUGUAUUCAUAGCUAUAAUAAAGAAAAGAAAACCAGGUAGGCGAAGAAGAAAAAUCUAAGCUUCCCUUCUUGCUCCAAUUACUCUGCCUUUCAAAAACUAGUUAAUCGUGGGGCUAGUUUUCAUUAUAGGUGAGGAGAUAGAGAACAAGUAGAAUUAGAAUAGUAAUAGAGUCAGAAUAAUUAAGAAAUAAAACCUAUACCUGGCAAAGAACCAAGGGAGUGCCCUCCCUUGUAUGUUUACUUUGUGUAUAUCCUUUUAUGUAAAAAUAGUUCAUUGCAUCACAUUUAAUUUUAGUAGCAGGGAAACACAGGCUUAUUAUUUACCUGUGAGCCUGACUACAGAUUCAAGGGCCUUCUGAAAUUCAGAAUCACAUGAACUCCAAGUUAUUCCAGGCCUCCUCCUCUCUCCUCUGUAAACAAUGAAGAAAUGAGCACCAACAGGCAGAAGGAAGAAAAAGGAGCCUCUUACCUCCAUGCUUGUGCUGAACGCUCUAGUAACUUUCGCUUUGAUGGUUAUAACUUGUCCAACUCUAGAUAAAAAAAAAAAAACAGUAAUUCUAGCACAUCUCAUUUCAGACUUGGAGAUUCACUUAAAUGUGUGUGCCAUAAAACAGUUCCACCUUAUGCUGAUAAUGUUCAUGCAUGAGAAACUCAAUAACGUAACGAGACAGCACUAAAAAUAGAUACUGAUUAUUGUAAACCACACAAGAGUUAGCUGACUACCUCUUUUUAACAGAAAACGGCCUUUGCAAAGAUGGUGUGCAAAAUGAUUUCCAAAUCUACAACAGAUACUUGACUGUACCACAGCUGUUUGGUUAAGAGAAAACGAACACACAUGCAAACCUAUACAACUGAUAUUUUUAAAUGUUGGUUAACAAAUAAAUGGUAAACAUACAAGCAAGCAAACAAACUGAAUACCUUCACUCAGUUUACAGGAGCCCUCAAUGUUGCCAGAUGAUCCAUUCACUCCACAUUAUUACUGGGACUCUGGUCAUGUAACCCUAGUUGUUUCAAAGCUUUUGUGUUCUGGCCCUUCAGUCACCUAAGGGUCUACCCAAUAUAAGCCUCCUCAAUUUUUCUCCCUGACUUCAAAUUCGAACUACAUUCUCACUAUUCUUCUCAAUCUUCUAUUUCAGGGGAAGAAAAAUAGAUCUCUUCCAGACCUCUUUCUUUACCCGUGCCCUUGAUCCCGUCCUACUCUUACCUUUCCUCCUGCACCAUGGCCUGGCUUAGGCAGCUCUUUCCUCUUUUGUACCCUCAAUCUCUGCCCCUUCCUUGACUCCUUAUCAGUCUGUGAAAAUGUUCAAGGCUUUUCCUUGCUAAAAAUCUUUCUCUCAAGUUUAUUCUAUCACAACAUUUUUUUCUCUUCUCCUCUAUAUUUCUCCAUAUUCAAACUUCCUAAAAUAAUCUUUUUCUUUUUCCAGCUCAUACAUUUAACAAAUGUUUACUGAGUUACAACUAGUCCUGGCGCGAAACUAAGACCUCAGGAUACAAUGAUUAACAAGAUAAGGUUGAUGACAUCAAGGAGACCAGUCUUCACUUGGGACAUCAGGAUGCAGACAGAUGAAGUGCAACGCUAUGAAAUUUUUCAAAAGGAAGAAAGAAUCAAGUAUUGCAAAAACACCCAGAAGUGACUAAUGUGAAAAGUCAGGGAAGGAGCCAUAGAAGAGUGUGACAGAUAUGAAUUCAACAGGACCAGUCUGUUCUGGUUCUUGGUUUUGAUUGCCCUUCAUGCAGUAUGCCAGUAAAAGUGGAAAAACCCUAAAGCUAUUUCUGAUUUCCUGGGGAAACUGAGAGAAGCUGAGGAACAGCUAAGUGGAUAUAGUCCAGACAGUCACAAACUUGCAGAAAAGUGGAAGUACCAUACAAAGAUGUGCUUGUUGCUGUUGGAGUGUCACUGCUCCCAGGCCCUCACUGUGGACACAGCUACAAAGUAAAUUUUGAAAUCAGUUUUUCAGCCAUGCAGCUGACUGGGCUAGAGAUGCGAAACCUCCACAGUCAUCAGUGUGUCUUUAAAUCAGGCCACCGCUCGGUCCCCACAAGGUCUCACCGGCAUGAGCCCUGCCUGGGUGCUGUGGGGCACGCAAAGCAGCAUCAGAGAGAUCCAGCAAAAGGAAAUUUGCAGACAUGAUUAAGUUAACGAUCUGGAGAUGGAGAUAUUAUCCUUGGUGGACCAAAUGUCAUCACAAGCGUCCUUCUAAGAGAGAAUCAGGAGGUCAGAGAAGAGAGAAGAUGCUUUGCUGCUGGUUUUGAAGAUGGAAGAAGGGGCCACAACCCAAAGAAUGUAGGUGGCUUCCAGAAGAGGAGAAAAGUCAGGAAAGCAGAUUCUCCUCAAGAGCUCCAGAAGAAAAGUGGCCGUGAUGACUGAUUUUGGACUUUGAUCUCUAGAACUAUUAAAGGAUAAAUUGUGCUGUGUUAAGCUACUGUUUGUGUUCUUUUUUUUUUUUUUUUUUUUUUUUACAGGAGCAAUAGGAAACAAAUACACGUUCCCUUACAGGUAAUUUACACCAUUAGAGUUUUGUUCCUUUUUGCAGAGGAACUGGGGAUAUUUGGAUGUAUUGAACAUGUUCAUGCCACACUGAAAAAACUUACUAUGAGGAUGAAUUAAAAGGUAGAAGGACAAAUGGUUGUCCACUACUCUGCUAGCUUGGGGAAGACAAGAUGGAAAAACAGGAUAAUAAGUUAGAGACCUUAGCCUCACAUGUUGCAAAGCUAGGAGGACACUAGAUGCCACAGAUUAAGAUUCAGGUGAUGACAAAACCUGAUUAAGCUAAGAGGUAGAAUGUGUGGGAAAGUAAUGAGAAUAAAAGGGAGUAAAAGAAGCUUUUAAAAAUACAGACUGCUGUAGCCAAAAAUCGAUUUGUACAAAACUACUAGGAAUAAUAAGAAUGAAAGAAAAUGACUAUAUAUGAAAAGUAGCAUGUAUGUUUUUGGUAAAAGAAGGUAAGAGGAGUGGAGGAAUUAUUCUAAGAGAAAAAUCCAGGGUCAAGGUGUAUAUUUUCCUGCUGUAUUGUGUUUCUGUUUCCUAUGCUAGUGUGAUCAAUCAUCAGAGAAACUGUUUGGGUUAGAAAACUUUGAUUAAAAUAUUUGACUCUCAGACUUCC
This is a long non-coding RNA of Orcinus orca (killer whale), 10100 nucleotides long. RefSeq lists it as uncharacterized. The record is from RefSeq and is a predicted model, not a curated record. The transcript is spliced from 6 exons. NCBI's taxonomy places the organism in Eukaryota, Metazoa, Chordata, Mammalia, Artiodactyla, Delphinidae.